UACGUAGGGUGCGAGCGUUGUUCGGAAUUACUGGGCGUAAAGGGUUCGUAGGCGGGAAGAUAAGUUAUGUGUGAAAUCCCCGAGCUUAACUCGGGACGUGCACGUAAAACUGUUUUUCUUGAGUGUUGGAGAGGGUAGUGGAAUUGCUGGUGUAGGAGUGACAUCCGUAGAGAUCAGCAGGAACAUCAGAGGCGAAAGCGACUGCCUGGCCAAACACUGACGCUGAGGAACGAAAGCGUGGGGAGCAAACAGG
Molecule: ribosomal RNA, 253 nt
Filed under: uncultured bacterium
Lineage: Bacteria
Description: partial 16S ribosomal RNA
Rfam family: Bacterial small subunit ribosomal RNA
Source: RNAcentral